Molecule: ribosomal RNA, 440 nt
Filed under: uncultured bacterium
Lineage: Bacteria
Description: partial 16S ribosomal RNA
Rfam family: Bacterial small subunit ribosomal RNA
Source: RNAcentral
CCUACGGGAGGCAGCAGUGGGGGAUAUUGCACAAUGGGGGGAACCCUGAUGCAGCGACGCCGCGUGGGUGAAGAAGCGCCUCGGCGCGUAAAGCCCUGUCAGCAGGGAAGAAAAUGACGGUACCUGAAGAAGAAGCCACGGCUAACUACGUGCCAGCAGCCGCGGUAAUACGUAGGGGGCAAGCGUUAUCCGGAUUUACUGGGUGGAAAGGGGGCGCAGACGGCGAUGCAAGCCAGGAGUGAAAGCCCGGGGCCCAACCCCGGGACUGCUCUUGGAACUGCGUGGCUGGAGUGCAGGAGGGGCAGGCGGAAUUCCUGGUGUAGCGGUGAAAUGCGUAGAUAUCAGGAGGAACACCGGUGGCGAAGGCGACCUGCUGGACUGCAACUGACGUUGAGGCCCGAAAGCGUGGGGAGCAAACAGGAUUAGAUACCCUGGUAGUC